Non-coding RNA from Peromyscus maniculatus bairdii (prairie deer mouse), 552 nucleotides. Lineage: Eukaryota; Metazoa; Chordata; Mammalia; Rodentia; Cricetidae. The record is from RefSeq and is a predicted model, not a curated record.
GGACAGGGCUGGAGAGAUGGCGAGGCAGUAGAGUCCUCUGGGAAAAGGAAAUCCCAACUGAGAAAAUAUCUCCAUCACAUGAGACUGGCCUGAAGUCCUCACACCGUUGGUUGGCCGAGGACAUGCUGAUCCUAUUUUCAGUGCCUGCCAGAGAAGGUUGCCAUAGCACAUUGGAAUGACUUUCUGGACAGCCCCAGCGUCUACUGGAUCCAGGAGAGGUGUUGAAAGGCUGUGACAAACGACCAACCUGGCGGACUGUACAAGCAGAGCCUAGCUUAUCUGAGAGGGACUUCCCACCCUCCCAUGCUCUUAAAAUGACAUUUGCUGUUGUGCAGACUCACUUGGGUGGGUGGGGGUGAGAGAUCUUUACCUCAAAUUUAUUGGCAGUUACCACCACUGUGCCAAAGAAAGACUCUAAAAGGGAUCCAAAGAAUUAACCAAGUAUCUUCCUUGUGAGGCACUAUGGCAGAGAAGCUUGGAGAACCUGACCGUCGAGUGCUCUUGGAUGCUCUGUCUCAGUCCAGCUUAAAUAAAAGGAACUAUUACUAUUAG